UGUAUUUGCUCCGUCUUUUUAUUCUCCUCUUUCAAAGGCUGAUCCCUUCCUGUCCCCAUCCCACCCUUACUUCUCAAAACCAUUUCUUCUUCAACUAUAAGCCCACUCUUUCCUAUAUCAUCAGCCCUCCCUCUAAUUAUUCCUAUCAUUAUACAAUAUGUUUUUCUCUCUUCCAACAUUAAAAACAUCUCUUUUGGCCCUGUGCCUGUUUUAAACUGCUUUCCCAUACCUUUGUCUCCUCUUAUGUCUUGCUUUUUUAGAAGAACUUAGGCAUAUAUUAAAGGUGUCUACUCCCAAUCUACACUUCUGUCUCUUUCAUUCUGCAUCUGUUCUGCUUCUACUUGUUUCACUCUACCAAAACUGCAGUUUUCCAGGUCAUGAACAAUUGCUCUAUUUUCAGACUCAUAGAUACCCUGGUCCUGCAUUAUUCGAAGUUGUCUAUUGCAGGUCAUUGUUGAAAUUUCCUUCUCCCUCUUGACCUCAGCAAUGACACUCCCUGGGGGUCCUUCUGGCCAGCGGCUGCUCCUUCCUUGUCUCCUUGCCUUGUCCUUAUUCUCAGCUUUGCCCUUUUACUAUUCUUCUAGCGUUUGUCCUGUCCAUACCUUCUCCCUACCUUUUAUUGCUUAUUCCCAUGGAUUUAAAUAUUCCCUAUCAGCUGACUUUUGAUUUAAUUCUCCAUCCUGGACGUUUCCUCUAUCUUCAGGUGCCUUCUUGACAUCUCCACUGGAGUUUCCCCCAGGUGUCGCAUUCUAAUCUGUCACAUAGUUAACUCUUCAUCUGCCCUCACACACCUCCUCCAUAUGUCCUCUCAAAUGAUGUCUUAAGUCUCCCCACGCCUCUGCAUCACCACAGCAUCCACCUUGCCCAUCUUCCACUUGGCCUGUUGCCAACCUCCUAACACAGUCUUCUCUGUUCCUUUGCUUCCUUCGAUCUGUUCUCCACACAGCAGAUAAUCUUCUUGAAGUAUAAAUCAGAUCAUGCCACUUGCCUGCUUAAAACUUUUCAAAGGUUUCACAUUGUGCUUAGAAUAAAACCAAAACUCUCUGUAGGAAUGUGAAUAAUUUGAUCUCUACCUGUCUUUUCUACUUUAUGUUACCUUCUUUCUUACCCAACUGUCUCAAGUCAUAUUGGUUUUUCCUUUCCAAGCUGUCACCAAGCUCUUUCCUGAUUUAGGACGUACUGUUUUCUCUGUCUAAAAAAUACCUACCUCCCACCCCCACUUAUUGAAUUUCUAUUUUUCCUUACUAUUCCUCUGGUUUCAGCUUAAAUAUAAUUUUCUUAAUGAAGUCUUCCAAGCCCUUUCUCUAAAGCUUGUUUUGUCUUUAACUCAGGUUCUUGUUUCCUACUUAUAACUUGUCACAAUUUCUUCUAACCUGUUUUUUUCGCCUAGUUUACAAGGGCUGGGGGAUCCUCUGACAGAGUUGCCCAUGUGCUCACCGCUGCUGUUGGACAAAUGAAGCCUGGAUGUGAAAGGGGUGUGAUGUGGGAGAGGCCAUCACACAAGAAGAAGCAGCUGUUUUCAUUGUGUUGUGUCUGAAGUUAUAGCAAGACAUUCAGAAGCAGGGACAAAGCGUUUGCAUUUGGCAAAGACACAGAGUCUCUUUGUAGGUGUUGCUGCUACCACCCUGAUGAAGCACUUUAGUGGGCCCCCCAUCGGAGUGUUGUUGCCAGCAGACUGGGAGGGAACACCUCGACCUUCCCAGUGCAGCGGGUUCCUAACUUCAAGGGGACAGAGAACAAAGCUGGGGAUGUGGUACUAGCCCCCCGGCAUUAGCUCAUGCAGCCCAAGAGUGAUGAGCUGAGCCCUGGUCCCCUGAAUUCUCCCUGAAACAAAGCCAGUCAACUGAUUCUACCUUAUACCACAAUCAAACCCUCAAGAGCAUCAAGUAAUAAAAAAGCAAAAAAUCCCAAUCCAAAGGACAUCAAAAUCAAAGGUUAAUGGAACAUCAUCCUACACCGAUAAGGAAAAAAACAGCACAAGAACUCUGGCUACUCAAAAAGCCAGACUGUUUUCUUACCUCCAAACAACCACACUCAUUCCACAGGAAUGGUUGUUAAGCAGACUGAACUGGCUGAAAUGACAGGUAUAGAAUUCAGAAUCUGGAUAGGAACGAAGAUCACUGAGAUUCAGAAGAAUGCCAAAACGCAAUCCAAAAAAACCUAAGGAAUCCAAUAAAACAAUACAAGACAUGAAAGAUGAAAUAGUCUUCAUAAGAAAGAAUCAAACUGAGUUGAUAGAGCUGAAUUUCACAAUACAAUCACAAGUAUUAACAGCAGAAUAGACCAGCCUGAGAAAAGAAUCUCAGAGCUCAAAGACUAGUUCUUCAAAUCAACUCUGUCAGAUGAAAAUCAAUAAAAAGAAUUAAAAAGAAUGAACAAGGCCUCCAAGAAAUCUGAGAUUAUGUAAAAAGACAAAUCUGUGACUCAUUGGCAUCUCUGAAAGGGAAGCUGAGAAAGCAACCAACUUGAAAACAUAGUUUAGGAUAUUGUCCAUAAAAUUUACCCAACCUCACUAGAGAGGCAAACAUUCAAAUUCAGAAAGUGUAGAUAACCCCUGUGAGAUAGUAUACAAGAUGACCAUUUCCAAGACGCAUAGUCAUCAGAUUCUCCAAGGUCAACAUGAAAGAAAAAAGUAUUAAAAGAAGCUAGAGAAAAGGGGCAGGUCACCUACAAAGGGAACCCUAUCAGGCUGACAGUAGAUCUUCCAGCAGAAACCCUGUAAGUCAGAAGAGAUUGGGAACCUAUAUUCAGCAUUCCUAAAGAAAAUAAAUUCCAACCAAAUAUUUUAUAUCCAGCCAAACUAAGCUUCAUAAGCAAAGGAGAAAUAAGAUCAUUUUCAGAUAAGCAAAUGCUAAGGGAAUUCAUUACCACCAGACUGUCCUUACAUGAGGUCUUUAAAGGAGUGCUAAAAAUGGAAAAGAAAGACCAUUAUCAGCCAACACAAAGCACACUUAAAUACAUAGACCAUUGACACUAUUUUAAAACACCAAAUAAUCAAGGCUGUGUGAUAACUAGCUGAUAUAAUGAUAAGAAGAUCAAAUCCUCACAUAUCAAUAUUAACCUUGAACAUAAGUGGGUUGAAUGCCCCACUUAAAAGUCACAGAGUGGCAAGUUGCAUAAAAAGCAAGACCCAAUUGUAUACUGUCUUCAAGAGACCCAUCUCAAUUCAAUGACACCCAUAGGCUCAAAGUAAAGAGAUGAAGAAAAAUCUACCAAGAAACUAGAAAACAAAACAAAAGAAAAAGUAGGGGUUGCUAUUUUAAUUUUGGACAAAACAGACUUUAAACCAAUAAUAAUAAAAAAAGACAAAGAUGAGCAUUGCAUAAUGGUAAAGCGUUCAAUUCAAUCAGAAGAUUUAACUCUUCUAAGUAUAUAUGUACCCAACACAGGAGCACCCAGAUUUAUAUAAAACAUUCUUGAAGAAUGGCCUAUAAUAUGCUUUGAUUCCAAUGUAAGUGUGGAGUAGGGGCAAUUAUAAAAUGAUAAUUAUUUCAGGUAUUUAUCAUCAUGAAGUUAUAUAUACAUGUUCACAUACAUAUAUACAUACACACACACACACAUACAUGUAACUGGACCCUUUGGGAUUUCAGCAACACAGAUUUUUUUAGUCACUGAAAUCAUGAAAAUUCUGAUCAGGCCCUUGCUUGAUGGCACAGGUUAACUGCUCACUUUUUGCCCAACAUUCUAUGUUCCUACAAUAUAAAUAUAAACUGCUGAUGUCCUGUUUCUUUGUCAAGCUGGAGGAAAUAACUUCAGGGUCACAAAAAAGUCUGCGGAAGGAAUGAACGCCCUGAAGGACAUUGUAACCAGCUGUUGAUGCCCAGAAGUCUUGUUGCUCAAGGUUUUAUCUAUGAUGAACCAGACUUUUUCCCCUGGAUUCCUGAAACUCCCCUACCUUAUUCUCCUGCUGCAUAAAAACUCCCUGCUUCUUCUUUUUGUUAAGAUGGGUUUGAGGGAUCUUGUCCAUUCACCUUCUCACUUUGGCCAAAUCAAAUAAGUUUUUAUCUCUAAGCACCUGUGACUCAGUGUUUGGCCUCAGCUGCACAUCAGGUAUAUAAUCCUGAAUUUGAGGUUCCACAAGAUAUACACACACCCACACACAGCAUAUUAUAUUGCCACGUUGUGGUGCUUUUUAUGGAAUAAUCAUUUCUGUAAAUGGCCUGUAGGCUAUAAAGAAAAACACCUGCCUCUAUUCAUUCACUGAACCCGUAUUUCCUAAGUACUUAUGACUUCCAGUCCCUCCUACCUGCACUGGGGAUAUGUCAGGCAAUAACAACAGAAAGCAACAAGCCGGCAGCCAGGUAUUGAAAGCUGCUAGGGGAGAAAAUAGUGAAAGGAGAUCAUGUAAACCAAGGAGAGUUUCUCCUUCAUAUGGAUGGCCAGGGAAGGCCUCAGGGAGGCAGCAGCAUUUUAACAGAGAAGUCAAGCCGAUCUAUGGGGGACAGCACUCCAGGGGCAAAGAACAGCAGGUCCAAGUGCCUCAGGCGAGGGGAGUGUGCUUGGCAAGGGAGAUGUGGGCCUUUGUGCCUAAGGACAGUGAGUAAUGGGAGGUGAUGAGGUGGCAGAGGUGUGGGCAGCGGUGCCAUAUUGCAUGGGGACCUUGUUGGUCAUCGUGAGACUAUGGUUUUCCCAACGGAGAUGGGGAGCCAUUGGAGGAGAUUCUGCAAGAGUGACGUGGUCUGACACAGCCUUUAGGGGAGAAAUCUGAUGACCAUGCAGAGAUAGAAGCAGAAAAGCAGGUCCCCACAGGAGGAACCCAUUCGGGUGUGACAGAGAUGUGGGCAGAGGGCAGCAGGGUGGCGUCAGCCAGUCACACCCUCGAGUGCUCUGAAAGUAAAGACAAUAGAAUUUGCUGGUGGACUGGACACAGGGUGAGAGGAAGGGAGAAACUGGCCCAACACUUCUUCCCAGGCAACUGGAAGCAUGGGGUUUCCACUUUCAGAGAUGCGUGGGAGAGAGGAGCAGGUAGCGGGGGUGGAAGAACCAGGUGAGGCCGUUGGAGACUCUGAUAUUACUAUUCACCCUUUUUAUUGAAAAGGAUGUCGUCAUUGACUCAAUAGGACAGAUGUGAAAAACUGAAAGAGACAUCUUGUUCUUAUCAUAACCUCCCCCCUCAUUUUGUACAUUUGCACAUAGAGAAGUUACUAGAAGGGACAGUGUGAGUGUGGCUCUGAGGUCCUUCAGUAACCCAUCCAUAGCAGUCUGCAGCUGGGCACUCAUACUGAGCCACAUGGCAGCUGCAGUCAGUGUCUCCCGGUGCAGGGCAUUGCGGGCUGGAGCCUCGCUCACUUUGUUCUGUCCCUCCCAUGUCACUCCCGUCUUGAGCAGACCCAGCCUCCUUCUUGGAUGGAGUGAAUCCACUUCUAUAUUUGAAGUAAUCUUUCAUGUAUUUUGAAAACACCUAGGCUCCAAAUCC
Molecule: long non-coding RNA, 5416 nt
Filed under: Homo sapiens (human)
Lineage: Eukaryota; Metazoa; Chordata; Mammalia; Primates; Hominidae
Description: HSALNT0083882
Source: RNAcentral